ACGCACGCUGGCGGCAUGCCUCACCCCUGCCAGUCGAACGCGACCUUCGGGUCUAGUGGCGCACGGGUGCGUAACGCGUGGGAACCUGCCCUUAGGUUCGGAAUAACUCCCCGAAAGGGGUGCUAAUACCGGAUAAUGUCUUCGGACCAAAGAUUUAUCGCCUUUGGAUGGGCCCGCGUUGGAUUAGCUAGUUGGUAGGGUAAAAGCCUACCAAGGCGACGAUCCAUAGCUGGUCUGAGAGGAUGAUCAGCCACACUGGGACUGAGACACAGCCCAGACUCCUACGGGAGGCAGCAGUGGGGAAUAUUGGACAAUGGGCGAAAGCCUGAUCCAGCAAUGCCGCGUGAGUGAUGAAGGCCUUAGGGUUGUAAAGCUCUUUUACCCGGGAUGAUAAUGACAGUACCGGGAGAAUAAGCUCCGGCUAACUCCGUG
RNAcentral lists this ribosomal RNA (432 nucleotides) under uncultured bacterium. Its description in RNAcentral is "partial 16S ribosomal RNA". It matches the Rfam family "Bacterial small subunit ribosomal RNA", at positions 29 to 507 of the family's 1533-position model. The record is from RNAcentral.